AGAUUUUGAUCCUGGCUCAGAUUGAACGCUGGCGGCAUGCUUUACACAUGCAAGUCGACGGCAGCGGGGUAGUGCUUGCACUACUGCCGGCGAGUGGCGAACGGGUGAGUAAUAUAUUGGAACGUACCGGGUAAUGGGGGAUAACCAAUCGAAAGAUUGGCUAAUACCGCAUACGCUCUGAGGAGGAAAGCAGGGGACCUUCGGGCCUUGCGUUAUUCGAGCGGCCAAUAUCUGAUUAGCUAGUUGGUGGGGUAAAGGCCUACCAAGGCGACGAUCAGUAGCGGGUCUGAGAGGAUGAUCCGCCACACUGGGACUGAGACACGGCCCGGACUCCUACGGGAGGCAGCAGUGGGGAAUUUUGGACAAUGGGCGCAAGCCUGAUCCAGCCAUGCCGCGUGUCUGAAGAAGGCCUUCGGGUUGUAAAGGACUUUUGUUAGGGAAGAAAAAGGAGCGGUUAAUACCCGUUUCUGCUGACGGUACCUAAAGAAUAAGCACCGGCUAACUACGUG
Molecule: ribosomal RNA, 509 nt
Filed under: uncultured Neisseria sp.
Lineage: Bacteria; Pseudomonadati; Pseudomonadota; Betaproteobacteria; Neisseriales; Neisseriaceae
Description: bacterial SSU rRNA
Rfam family: Bacterial small subunit ribosomal RNA
Source: RNAcentral